AUACGUAGGUGACAAGCGUUAUCCGGAUUUACUGGGCGUAAAGGGCGUGUAGGCGGUCUUGCAAGUCAGAAGUGAAAUUCCUGAGCUCAACUCGGGCACUGCUUCUGAAACUGCAGGACUUGAGUGCUGGAGGGGAUAGCGGAAUUCCUAGUGGAGCGGUAAAAUGCGCAGAUAUUAGGAAGAACACCGGUGGCGAAGGCGGCUAUCGGGACAGUAACUGACGCUGAGGCGCGAAAGCGUGGGGAGCAAACAGGAUUAGAUCCCCUGGUAGUCCACGCCGUAAACGAUGAAUACUAGGUGUAGGGGGUAUCGACUCCCUCUGUGCCGCAGUUAACACAAUAAGUAUUCCGCCUGGGGAGUACGGCCGCAAGGUUGAAACUCAAAUGAAUUGACGGGG
This 397-nucleotide ribosomal RNA is filed under the name uncultured bacterium. RNAcentral's name for it is "partial 16S ribosomal RNA". It matches the Rfam family "Bacterial small subunit ribosomal RNA", at positions 523 to 918 of the family's 1533-position model. The record is from RNAcentral.